RNAcentral lists this ribosomal RNA (423 nucleotides) under Aulacoseira subarctica. RNAcentral's name for it is "partial Bacterial large subunit ribosomal RNA". It matches the Rfam family "Bacterial large subunit ribosomal RNA", at positions 991 to 1413 of the family's 2925-position model. Lineage: Eukaryota; Bacillariophyta; Melosirophyceae; Melosirales; Aulacoseiraceae. The record is from RNAcentral.
GCGGGUGCUAACGUCCGUCGUGAAAAGGGAAACAACCCAGACCGUCAGCUAAGGUCCCAAAGUUAUGGUUAAGUGGGAAACGAUGUGGGAAGGCUUAGACAGCUAGGAGGUUGGCUUAGAAGCAGCCACCCUUUAAAGAAAGCGUAAUAGCUCACUGAUCGAGUCGUCCUGCGCGGAAGAUGUAACGGGGCUCAAACCAUACACCGAAGCUACGGGUAUCAUCUUCGGAUGAUGCGGUAGAGGAGCGUUCUGUAAGCCUGUGAAGGUGAGUUGAGAAGCUUGCUGGAGGUAUCAGAAGUGCGAAUGCUGACAUGAGUAACGACAAUGGGUGUGAAAAACACCCACGCCGAAAGACCAAGGUUUCCUGCGCAACGUUAAUCGACGCAGGGUUAGUCGGUCCCUAAGGCGAGGCUGAAAAGCGUA